Molecule: unclassified non-coding RNA, 165 nt
Filed under: uncultured Ascomycota
Lineage: Eukaryota; Fungi; Ascomycota
Description: sequence contains ITS1
Source: RNAcentral
CAGUGUUCCCUGCCCUCCGGGGUAGGAUCGCCACCCGUGGUUACUUAUACGUGUUGCUUUGGCGGGCCUCGCGGCCUAGCCGCGCCCCGGCUCCGGCGGGGGAGCGCCCGCCAGAGAACUCCAAACCCUGAAUAUUAGUGUCGUCUGAGUACUAUAUAAUAGUUA